Xenopus laevis (African clawed frog) is the source of this 769-nucleotide long non-coding RNA. RefSeq lists it as uncharacterized. The transcript has 2 exons. The record is from RefSeq and is a predicted model, not a curated record. NCBI's taxonomy places the organism in Eukaryota, Metazoa, Chordata, Amphibia, Anura, Pipidae.
UUAGCUGUAAGUACUUCCUGGUUACCUCACAGGACACUCCCCUCACUCUCAUUAGCUGUAAGUACUUUCUGGUUACCUCACAGGACACUCUUUCAAUUGCUGGAAGUUCUAUUGUAACUGCCCCAAGUGUUGCUAACUUCCCCCAUGGACUCUCAUGGACCACUUGCUGAUACGACAGAUGAUGUUGCGACUGGGAUUUCAUUAAUACUUCCAUUGAAAUGAUGGCUACAAAUCCAAUGCAGUUUGUUGAAAUUCCAGGAAGACGGCACAGCAAAUAGGAGAAAAUGCCAGACUGUCUCCCAAAUCAGGAAGAGUAAACGCUUUUACAGGAACAAAUGAAGGAGUCAUUAGGAGAAGUUGCCAAGUCAGAAUUCCAUGGCUGUUGCUGUUUGCUGCACACACAAGACUCACUCCUCUCAGUAAUUACCAGGGAAAUGGACCAUCAAGUGACCUGACUGUAACGGCACGAGGAAAUGCCUUUGGGGUGUAAAAUCUGCUUUGAUAUAACUGAGUAAUCACAAUCCCAUCCCAAUGAACAGCUAGCACAAUUUGCUUGAGUCCAUCAACACUGCAUGAACUUGCCUCCAGUGUGACUCACAUGCCAGAUCCACAGCGGCCAUUGGUGCACAAGCGACACAAGCGACACAACGACACACUUAUGGUGACAAAUUGGAGAGCAAUGUCAAACCACUUUGGCAGCAGAAAGUGUGCUUGUGCCCUCACAACUAAAAUAUACUUAUAAAUGUUUGGUAAAUAAAUAAAUGUUAAA